AGCCACCUAACUGGGUUAGGGCCCUGGCUCCAUCUCCUUUAGGAAAACCUUCUGUGGGGAGUGGGGUUUCGACCCUAACCCAGCUGGGCUGU
Molecule: microRNA precursor, 92 nt
Organism: Ochotona princeps (American pika)
Lineage: Eukaryota; Metazoa; Chordata; Mammalia; Lagomorpha; Ochotonidae
Product: microRNA 1296
Source: Ensembl